This 498-nucleotide ribosomal RNA is filed under the name uncultured bacterium. RNAcentral's name for it is "partial 16S ribosomal RNA". It matches the Rfam family "Bacterial small subunit ribosomal RNA", at positions 28 to 507 of the family's 1533-position model. The record is from RNAcentral.
GACGAACGCUGGCGGCGUGCCUAAUACAUGCAAGUCGAGCGGACGGAUGGGAGCUUGCUCCCAGACCGUCAGCGGCGGACGGGUGAGUAACACGUGGGCAACCUGCCUGUAAGACUGGGAUAACUCCGGGAAACCGGGGCUAAUACCGGAUAACUCUUUCCCUCCCAUGAGGGAAAGCUGAAAGAUGGCAUCUCGCUAUCACUUACAGAUGUGCCCGCGGCGCAUUAGCUAGUUGGUGAGGUAACGGCUCACCAAGGCGACGAUGCGUAGCCGACCUGAGAGGGUGAUCGGCCACACUGGGACUGAGACACGGCCCAGACUCCUACGGGAGGCAGCAGUAGGGAAUCUUCCGCAAUGGACGAAAGUCUGACGGAGCAACGCCGCGUGAGUGAUGAAGGUGUUCGGAUCGUAAAACUCUGUUGUCAGGGAAGAACAAGUACCGGAGUAACUGCCGGUACCUUGACGGUACCUGACCAGAAAGCCACGGCUAACUACGUG